RNAcentral lists this ribosomal RNA (304 nucleotides) under uncultured bacterium. RNAcentral describes it as "partial 16S ribosomal RNA". It matches the Rfam family "Bacterial small subunit ribosomal RNA", at positions 506 to 807 of the family's 1533-position model. The record is from RNAcentral.
CAGCAGCAGCCGCGGUAAUACGUAGGGUGCAAGCGUUAAUCGGAAUUACUGGGCGUAAAGCGUGCGCAGGCGGUUAUAUAAGACAGAUGUGAAAUCCCCGGGCUCAACCUGGGAACUGCAUUUGUGACUGUAUAGCUAGAGUACGGCAGAGGGGGAUGGAAUUCCGCGUGUAGCAGUGAAAUGCGUAGAUAUGCGGAGGAACACCGAUGGCGAAGGCAAUCCCCUGGGCCUGUACUGACGCUCAUGCACGAAAGCGUGGGGAGCAAACAGGAUUAGAUACCCGAGUAGUCCCUGUCUCUUAUAC